Non-coding RNA from Delphinapterus leucas (beluga whale), 2425 nucleotides. The record is from RefSeq and is a predicted model, not a curated record. Lineage: Eukaryota; Metazoa; Chordata; Mammalia; Artiodactyla; Monodontidae.
ACCUGCAUGUUUCUGCUUUGCAUGCCCCCUCCCCCAAUACACACACCCCUAGGAGACCUGGGGCAGCCCCUCCCAGUCUCAGUCUCCACUGGCCGGCUCUCCACAGCGGACCAGGGUGCAUGGCACAUGGCAGAGACUCAGUAAGUCAGGGGUCAAGGUGACCUCAAGCUGGGACUCUGCUGCUCAGGCAAGUAGACACUUGAUCAGGUGGCCUGGGGCCCAGCCUUCUCUGGACACUGGCCAUGACCUUGGCCUGAGCCCUUGGGGAGGGGGACACAGGUCAGCUCAGGACUCACAGCUCCUGCUCACACUUACUGAGGGCUUACUGUGUGCUAUGAGCUUUCCUCAACCCGUCUGAUGGUAUCUCAUAAUAACCCCAUGAAUUAUGGCUCCAUUUUAUGGAUGGGGAAACUGAGUCUCAGAGAGGUUAAGCCAGCUGCCCAAGGUCACACAGGUAGAAGCAGAGGUGGCUGAGUUUGAAUCCAGAGACGAACUGCUUCUCUCCUGAGACAACAGGCGCGUGAGCUAGGAGAGGCCUCACAGGGCAUCACAACGACCACCCCAGGGAACAGCCGGGCAAACUGAGGCUGCCGCCGUCGCACAGACCCUGUGCUGGCAUCUGGACACAGACGGGGCGCUCGGAGAAACCCAUCUCACAGGUGGGGCUGCUGAGGCCCACCGAGACCACCCAGCGCUCGCCCAGCCUGCACCCGUCUUGCCCAACCCCACGCUGCUCCUCUGGGGUGGGAGGCCUCCACAUCUGCACCCCCUGCUCUGCUCUGCCCCCCUGAACCCAUCCCCUGAUCGGCAGCCCCCUGGGCACGAGCCGCGGCCCCAGCGCCCCCGCCUGGCACGACUCCCCCACCUGGCACUCCUGCAGCCACAGUUUAGCACUUAGUUAUACACUCUGCUCACCAAUGAUCCUUGACUUGCGUGGGCUCCUGGAGGUAGGCGGCGCUCGCAGCCACUGGCACAGCCUCCGCGAGGCCGGCCUCCUGUCGCCUGGGCCGGGGGGCCACGCCCGCAGCCUGGAGCCCACGGUGUCCCACUGGUGGCCACGGGCACAGGACCGAGGCAGCCCAUCCAAUCCCUUUACAAGUGUUCAUCUGCCCCGCACCCCGUCCCUGCCCCCCUGCGGCCCCCGGGGAGCGGGCUGAGACCGUCUGCAGCCAGCGGCAGGCCAACCGCCCCCAGUUCUUCCUGAGCACUCUCACCCGCAAAGCCUGCGGCCAAGCCAGUGGCGGCGCCUUCCGACCCUGCCCCAGACGCACGCAGAAUCGCCCCCGCCAGCUCCACGCCGUCCCCCGAGUCCAAGCGGCCUCCCUCCCACUGGAUGACGGGGCUCCUCCUGGGACCACCCCCCCGCACCCCCAGACCCCCAGCAGUCCAUCCUCCACCCACAGCCGGAGGAAGCACAACGUCCCUCCCAAACUCUGCUCCACACGGCGAAAGAAGCUCUUCACGGAGGCCUCUUCGUCCUUGCUGCUCCCUCGCUCUUGACCUCCAUCCUCUCGUGCUUCCGCCCCAUCACCUGGACAUCUCGGCUCUGCCCUCCUCAGACUCCCCUUUGCCUCUGAGAGAAGGUCCCAGCCCACAGUCAAGGCCCUCAGUGACCCGUCUGCCCUGCCUCUCCCCGGCCACUCCAUCCCCCGCCCCUGUGGAAUCCUACACUGCUUGAAAACCAGCUAAAACCUGACAGCAGAGGGUCCCGGCAGACAGGACCUUAACCAGUGCUCAAGGUCAACACGCCUGUGUCUCAGGACCCCUGACGUGAGGUGAUGGGGGCGCCCGUCUCUGGGUCUUCUGUCUGCAAACCCACAACUCGGUGGAAUCGCGAGAAAGUGACAAACGCAAGCUGAGGGACGGACGUCCUACAGAGUAACCGGGCCGUGCUCUUCCAGAGGGUCAGCGGGCCCUAAGGGACUCAUGGAGGACGAGCCCGGAGGGACCAGGAGGCCAGGUGGGGUCCUGGACGGGACCCUGGGCCAGAAGGAGGACGCGGUGGGAGACAUGGAGACUCUUCAGUCAGCAGUGUCCACCGACUUCAUUUCUUAGCCACGAUCAACGCGCCCGGUCACGUAGCGCAUUCGGGAAGCUCCUAGCUUUGUGCCUCCUUGGUCAAACUCAAGUUAUUCCAGAAGGAAAAGUUUAGAAAUUCCAGAGGCUUAAAAAUUCGUUGCUGUGGUUCUCACUAUAGCAUAAUACGUGCUCAGUGAAAUAACUCAAAUCAGCAGAGACUCGAGGUGCCGUCGGCACCGCCUGCCCCGGGAGAAGCCCUUGCGUUUCCGCACCUGCGCAGAGAUUACUGCCAUUCCUCUGUUUCAUCACAGAUGUAAGCACACUCUGUCCCGCCAGCGCUAAGGGUCGCGGAGAAACUGGUUUGCUGGGAACACAGAAGUGGUGGCCCUGCGGGGAGAGGCCUGGC